Long non-coding RNA from Felis catus (domestic cat), 2403 nucleotides. RefSeq lists it as uncharacterized. NCBI's taxonomy places the organism in Eukaryota, Metazoa, Chordata, Mammalia, Carnivora, Felidae. The transcript is spliced from 5 exons. The record is from RefSeq and is a predicted model, not a curated record.
GAAAUUUUAUUCAAGUGACCUGCACACCCAACGUGGGGCUCAAACUCACAACCCAGAGAGAUCAAGAGUCACGUGCUCUACCCACCGAGCCAGCCAGGCUCCCCUAAAACCUACCGCUUUGAGUUCUUAUCUGAGAACUCAAGGUCUCAAGAGGCAAUUUCUACGGUUUGCCUUCUUUCUCUUGCUUCUCUUCCUUUACAAUCCUAGAAUAUUGUGAUUGAAUGAUGAACCCGUGGUGUGAAGGACAGCCAGGCUGGAGAUGUUGUUUCUCUGAAGAUCUUUCACCUUCUCCCCCAGCAGGCAGCAGAGGGGCGCAUCACCUCUAAUCCUUGACGAAGCUGGUUUGCAGCUGGUUCGCCCUCAGGGAAAGCCUCAAUCUACAGCUAGUUUGCUCACACUGCUGUGCUGCAGACGUCCGGGGCUCCUACCUGCGACCUUGGGCGAAUGCUGUUCUGCUACAAAUACUCCAUCAUCACUGAAAGGUAGUAAGUACCUGCUAACCUCGGGGACGUGCCGCACUCUAGACAAGGAAACAAGUUCCAAUGCCUCGGAAAACCGGAGAGGAGUUGGCAGAGCGUGUUCAUCGCGUGAAAACCGUGAGCGAGAGAUUCCGAAGACAAAAGGGCAGUCCAGCGGCCCCACUCUGCCUUGCUCCCCACCCGCCUGAAAUGCUAGCUAGCGUCCCCGGGGCCGAGGCGAGUGGGGCCCGAGGGAAGCUGCACGUCCCGGUGGGCUCGCCUGGUGACGCUUCCCCCUUCUCUGCCUUCAUCAGACCACCCUUCAUCGGCACUCGUCCCCUAACCCGGGACGAAUGUGAGGCCUGGAGGAAGUAGCAAGGGCAUAAUUGGUCAGAAGGAGAGCCCACCAUUCGGAGAUACCUUCGAGGCUGGUGGGGUGCUUCCACUUCCUUCGGGUUCCUCUGCCCGGCAGGGAGGUUCCACGACGGCAGGGGUCGGGUCGAUGGUCGUUCUAAUGUCCCCACGCCGAGAACAGGGUCAGACAUUCACCAGGACGCUCUCCUGGGACUUGUAAAUUACUUGGUCGUCUUUAGGUUUUAGGCCCUUGAGGAACUGAAGCACCCCGACAAUGGAAAUAGUGAAAAGCUUUUCAAAGCGGAAACUUGUUUUUCAAACUUACCCAUCCAGUUGAUUGAGCAGCAUCCGCAGCGGCAGCAAAACGGGAAAGACGAACCGCGCGCCACCCGCCGGCUCGAGCUUCCGGCGCUCAGCUCGGCUCCGCUGCGUACGUGCUCAGUGCGGUGGGUGGGGGGUCGGCGUGGGCCGGGGACCCACAGCAGGUGGAGGGAAAAGGGAGCCGCAAAGAGGAGGCAGGGAAGCUGCGGAGGCGCGUACUGGGUCAACAAGACCUCCUCGGCGGCCUGGCAGCCGUAAGGGGCCAGAUCCCGGAGAGAUGAGAAUGGGUCUUGUAUCGUAGUUGAAGGAGAAGGAAGGAAAAAGAACGGGAAAGAACGAAAAGGGUGUUAGACUUGUAGCUCGGGGGGGGGGGGGGGCAAGGCAGCAAGAUAUCAUGAAGGCCUUUAGGACCGCUUAAAGCACGGCAUUUGCAAGCCGGCUCAUAGCUCUUUAGUGCUCAACGUGCGUUGUACCUGUAGCAGCCUCGGUUCCAACCCCGCUCAAAGCAGGGUCUCCUGAGGUGGUGGCGAGUGCUAGAUUUAAACCUGCGCGAGCUGCCCCAUUUGCCUGCGGCACGAGAGCACGGUUUCCCGCGAUUCCAGAGCUCUGCGCUGAGAAAAAGGGAACCUCCGCCGUGCAUGCUGAAGUCUCGGUCGUCUUGAGAUGCUUGACUGCCCUACGUCUGGAAGGAGGCCGACAGCCUGUUGUCAGAAGCAGGACCUGAGGUGAUUUCAGCAAGGCAGGACCGGUGUCUCCUGGAAUUGGGUGCGGUCUCUACAGGAGACUAGUGCUCACCGCUCCUAGCUUGUAUACACACGGACAGCCUUCUACUCGCACCGUGAGUCCUCUUAGGGACUCAAAAGAGACAUAGAGGGAGAGAACCUCAGUUAUCGCCCAGAUCUUCUGGAGUAAGUUAGACACACCAGUCCAGCCUCCUGAACCGUCACUGGGUCCUGACCACCUAUUUGGGGGAGAGAACUGGUAUUCAUCUCAAAGUUUGGAAGAAAGGGUCUGGGAGGCACCAAGCAAUGGGUGGGCAAAGAGAAUGUGUCAGCAAGUGAAAAUCAACUUUCCAUGGGUCCACGGCAGGCAGAUAUGGACCAGAGACCAGAAACAACAUGAAUCUCUGAUGUUUUUCUACAGAGUUCUGUUAUCAACUUGUAAAGAGCCGACUUCAGAAUUAGACUUUUCCAAAUCCUAUAUUUGGAUUUGGCCAUGAAGCCGAAACUUCACAGCAUUGCCGGACAUUAAAUCUCCUAUGCAAGCCUUU